RNAcentral lists this long non-coding RNA (246 nucleotides) under Lathyrus oleraceus (garden pea). RNAcentral describes it as "Pisum sativum (pea) long non-coding RNA (PSAT_LNC032135)". The record is from RNAcentral. Lineage: Eukaryota; Viridiplantae; Streptophyta; Magnoliopsida; Fabales; Fabaceae.
GGGUUGAUUCGGUUGGUUCGGUUUUUUAUAAUAUUUUUAUUGAGCCAUAUAUACUCCUAUAAAUAAUGACAUAACUUUGUGUUUAGUCAUUCAUACAUUACUAAAUAACAUCAAAGUUCAUCAUAUUUAGACAAAAACGUUUCAUUCAAUAUACAAAAAAUCAUAUUAGACAAAAGUGGAAUAAAAGACAAAUAUAAAUAGUAGCAUAAAAUAAUAUCAAAGACAUUAUAAUAAAACAUAAAAAAA